GAUGAAGAACGUAGCGAAAUGCGAUAAGUAGUGUGUAUUGCAGAAUUCAGUGAAUCGUCGAAUCUUUGAACGCACAUUGCGCCCUUUGGUAUUCCAAAGGGCAUGCCUGUUCGAGCGUCAUUUGUACCCUCAAGCUUUGCUUGGUGUUGGGCGUCUUGUCUCUAGCUUUGCUGGAGACUCGCCUUAAAGUAAUUGGCAGCCGGCCUACUGGUUUCGGAGCGCAGCACAAGUCGCACUCUCUAUCAGCAAAGGUCUAGCAUCCACUAAGCCUUUUUUUCAACUUUUGACCUCGGAUCAGGUAGGGAUACCCGCUGAACUUAAGCAUAUCAAUAAGCGGAGGA
Molecule: unclassified non-coding RNA, 341 nt
Filed under: soil metagenome
Description: partial contains 5.8S ribosomal RNA, internal transcribed spacer 2, and large subunit ribosomal RNA
Rfam family: 5.8S ribosomal RNA (bases 1-120)
Source: RNAcentral